Molecule: long non-coding RNA, 1769 nt
Organism: Symphalangus syndactylus (siamang)
Lineage: Eukaryota; Metazoa; Chordata; Mammalia; Primates; Hylobatidae
Source: RefSeq, a predicted model, not a curated record
GUGGGGUGGGAGAGCCCAUUGAGUCCCUCCCACUCCAUUUACAUGUUUCAGAAAGCCUUCUCACUUGCUGUUUCUACUCUCUCCAUCUUCAUUUUUUUUUUCCUUAGCACGUUUUCUCUACUACUGGAGGAAAAUAUUAACAGACAUUGUACAUGCUCAUAACAAACUAAAGAUACACAAUUAGGAUACUACUAUAGACCAUUCCUUAGUGACUCUUUCUCACUUGCCAACACUUUAUCCUCCUGGCUCUAGAUGCCCAGAUAACCACACUAUAAAUUCUCCCAACUGAGGCACAUUUAUGUUGCUUCCAGAUUUUCUCCACCAUAACCCAGCAACACCAGAAUAAACUUCUACACUUCCAUGCUGGUGCUUUUCAUUCUAACCAGGUUUGGUUUCAAAGUGAUAGUGCCCAAUUAACUGCAAAACAUUUGCAAGUCAUGCUUCUUCCACCUGUGUUAAAACAAUGACCUGGUCCUCCUGCCUGCCCAUCAGCAUUGGAUGUUGUCACUGUUGGAUAUUUUUGCUGUGGAUAAAAGACAGAAGAAUCUGUGCUGCUGCCUCCCACAGCAUUUCCCUGCCCACCAGCGAGUGAAUGCUCUGGGUCUCACUACGUUGCCCAUGCUGGUCUCAAACUCCUGGACUCAAGCAAUCCUCCCACCUUCACCUCCUAAAGUGUUUGGAUUGCAGAACUCUUGGUGGCAUUUCUCAAUCCUAAGUCUCUGCAACCAGAGAGACCCCUGACCCUGUCCACCGUUCAGAAUCAUCACACCGAAAAAGACCAGAGACGAAUUGUGAUGAGCAUGGAAAAGGGUGGAGAAAUGCUGCUUCCCACGCUCACCUUGGAUGCGAACAUCUGUUCAUAAACCCCACCACCCUCCUCCAGGGUGAAGACAGCCAAGCCACUCUUUGGCCCAGACCUCGUCCUGGGGCCUCCUUGCUCUCUGCCGAUACACAGCCCCUUCACCCCCACCUCCAACACAGCAUAUCGUCCAUUCAAUCAAAAAACACCUACUCUGGCUUCCGUGCUAGGCACUGGAGCAACACUGGAAAAUGAGACAGAAUUUGCUCAUUCUCUUGCCUUAUGUUCUCCAUGCCCCACAACACACUUCCCUACUGCUCCCUGCUCCCUGACAAUCUUGGCAGCACCACUGUCCUCCCAGUUCCCCAAGUCAGAAACCAGAGUCACCCCAGGCUCCUGAUUACUCCCACAUGCCAGCCUCCGGCUCCCUUCCUUCAGCUGCUCUUCUCCCCUUCACUCCCAAGGUGGGGUCUCUUCUCGUCUGGAGACUGCAGGAGCUCCUCCUUGGCCCCCACUGCCCCACCCAGGUGCAGGCCUGAAGUCUCUAGUUCAACACCAACUCUAAUCCCGUUAAUCCCACACUUGAAACUUCACUGCCUACAGGAACAAGCCCAGGCCUCUCAGUGCAGCUCUCCUGAGCCUCAAGCCCAAUCCCCUCCUCCAGCAACACUUGCACUGUAUCAUCUCCAUUUGGUUUCUGAACCUAAUCUGGCUCUGGCCCCUAUGAACAUGGAGGUCCCCAUAUCCCACAGAAUAUGUCACCUUCUCCCAGGCAGAGUCCCCAUCUCCCACCUGUCUCUCUGUAGCUGUGCUGCCUGCACUGGGCUGGAAAUGUCCAUAUCCACCUCCUCCUGCCUCCACUGCAGUCCCUCACCGGCAGGCAGAGGUUCUAACUGCACAACCUCCCCAGAGGCCUCACUCAAUCUACCCACAGGACAGAGGGAGAGCACUGUGGCCACUCACCCUGCGG